GGGGGAGAGAUACUAGUGUUGGAGGGUUUCCGCCCUUCAGUGCUGCAGCUAACGCAUUAAGUAAUCCGCCUGGGGAGUACGACCGCAAGGUUGAAACUCAAAAGAAUUGACGGGGGCCCGCACAAGCGGUGGAGCAUGUGGUUUAAUUCGAAGCUACGCGAAGAACCUUACCAGGUCUUGACAUCUUCUGCCAACCUAAGAGAUUAGGCGUUCCCUUCGGGGACAGAAUGACAGGUGGUGCAUGGUUGUCGUCAGCUCGUGUCGUGAGAUGUUGGGUUAAGUCCCGCAACGAGCGCAACCCUUAUUACUAGUUGCCAGCAUUCAGUUGGGCACUCUAGUGAGACUGCCGGUGACAAACCGGAGGAAGGUGGGGACGACGUCAAAUCAUCAUGCCCCUUAUGACCUGGGCUACACACGUGCUACAAUGGAUGGUACAACGAGUCGCGAAACCGCGAGGUUUAGCUAAUCUCUUAAAACCAUUCUCAGUUCGGACUGUAGGCUGCAACUCGCCUACACGAAGUCGGAAUCGCUAGUAAUCGCGGAUCAGCAUGCCGCGGUGAAUACGUUCCCGGGCCUUGUACACACCGCCCGUCACACCAUGAGAGUUUGUAACACCCAAAGCCGGUGGGGUAACCUUUUAGGAGCUAGCCGUCUAAGGUGGGACAGAUGAUUAGGGUGAAGUCUAAAAGGGGGGAACAAAAAAGUUCGGCGGUCCCCGCGCCGGUGUCCC
RNAcentral lists this ribosomal RNA (730 nucleotides) under Pediococcus acidilactici. Its description in RNAcentral is "bacterial SSU rRNA". It matches the Rfam family "Bacterial small subunit ribosomal RNA", at positions 801 to 1533 of the family's 1533-position model. The record is from RNAcentral. Lineage: Bacteria; Bacillati; Bacillota; Bacilli; Lactobacillales; Lactobacillaceae.